This 1047-nucleotide ribosomal RNA is filed under the name uncultured archaeon. Its description in RNAcentral is "bacterial SSU rRNA". It matches the Rfam family "Archaeal small subunit ribosomal RNA", at positions 1 to 1054 of the family's 1478-position model. The record is from RNAcentral.
UCUGUUUGAUCCUGCCGGAGGUUACUGCUAUCGAGGUUCGACUAAGCCAUGCGAGUCGAAUGUAGCAAUACAUGGCGUACUGCUCAGUAACACGUGGGCAACCUACCCUUAGGCCUGGGAUAACCCCGGGAAACUGGGAAUAAUACCGGAUAUAUCACGAACGCUGGAAUGCGUCGCGAUAGAAAGCUCCGGCGCCUAAGGAUGGGUCUGCGGCCUAUCAGGGUAGUAGUGGGUGUAAUGUACCUACUAGCCUACGACGGGUACGGGUUGUGAGAGCAAGAGCCCGGAGAUGGAUUCUGAGACACGAAUCCAGGCCCUACGGGGUGCAGCAGGCGCGAAAACUUUACAAUGCCGGCAACGGCGAUAAGGGGACCUCGAGUGCCAGGAUACAAUCCUGGCUGUCGUAAUGCCUAAAAAGCAUUGCAUAGCAAGGGCCGGGCAAGACCGGUGCCAGCCGCCGCGGUAACACCGGCGGCUCGAGUGGUAACCGCUAUUAUUGGGUCUAAAGGGUCUGUAGCCGGCUGAAUAAGUCUCUUGGGAAAUCUGGCAGCUUAACUGUCAGGCUUUCAGGAGAUACUGUCCGGCUCGAGACCGGGAGAGGUGAGAAGUACCUCAGGGGUAGGGGUGAAAUCUUGUAAUCCUUGAGGGACCACCAGUGGCGAAGGCGUCUCACCAGAACGGAUCUGACGGCAAGGGACGAAAGCUAGGGGCACGAACCGGAUUAGAUACCCGGGUAGUCCUAGCCGUAAACGAUACUCGCUAGGUGUCGGCCACGGUGCGACCGUGGUCGGUGCCGUAGGGAAGCCGUGAAGCGAGCCACCUGGGAAGUACGGCCGCAAGGCUGAAACUUAAAGGAAUUGGCGGGGGAGCACUACAACGGGUGGAGCUUGCGGUUUAAUUGGAUUCAACGCCGGAAAUCUCACCGGGACCGACAGCGAUAUGAAGGCCAGGCUGAAGACCUUGCCGGAUUAGCUGAGAGGUGGUGCAUGGCCGUCGUCAGUUCGUACUGUGAAGCAUCCUGUUAAGUCAGGCAACGAGCGAGACCCA